Molecule: ribosomal RNA, 578 nt
Filed under: Salmonella enterica subsp. enterica serovar Virchow
Lineage: Bacteria; Pseudomonadati; Pseudomonadota; Gammaproteobacteria; Enterobacterales; Enterobacteriaceae
Description: partial 23S ribosomal RNA
Rfam family: Bacterial large subunit ribosomal RNA
Source: RNAcentral
GCGAUAAGCGCCGGUAAGGUGAUAUGAACCGUUAUAACCGGCGAUACCCGAAUGGGGAAACCCAGUGUGACUCGUCACACUAUCAUUAACUGAAUCCAUAGGUUAAUGAGGCGAACCGGGGGAACUGAAACAUCUAAGUACCCCGAGGAAAAGAAAUCAACCGAGAUUCCCCCAGUAGCGGCGAGCGAACGGGGAGGAGCCCAGAGCCUGAAUCAGCAUGUGUGUUAGUGGAAGCGUCUGGAAAGGCGCGCGAUACAGGGUGACAGCCCCGUACACAAAAGCGCAUGUGCUGUGAGCUCGAUGAGUAGGGCGGGACACGUGGUAUCCUGUCUGAAUAUGGGGGGACCAUCCUCCAAGGCUAAAUACUCCUGACUGACCGAUAGUGAACCAGUACCGUGAGGGAAAGGCGAAAAGAACCCCGGCGAGGGGAGUGAAAAAGAACCUGAAACCGUGUACGUACAAGCAGUGGGAGCACCCUUCGGGGUGUGACUGCGUACCUUUUGUAUAAUGGGUCAGCGACUUAUAUUCUGUAGCAAGGUUAACCGUAUAGGGGAGCCGUAGGGAAACCGAGUCUUAAC